CCCCAAGGUAGCCGGAUAAUUUCUGCUGCAGGAGGCCGAGCUGCCUCCCGGCUCCCGUCGGGAAUCUGGGAAGCGUAGACCAGGCGGGCUCGGCAGCGUAGCCACUUCCGUCCCAGGUGUGGGAGGCCGCGGCCUGCACAUCUCGCAGGAAGUUCUUUCUCUUCCAUCAAUGGCCUUGAACUCAUCCCAGAACGUUCAUAACAUAACAGACUUUGAGGCAGAACUCACAGAAUUAAACUUGUGGACUCCAGAUCCUUGCAAGGGUCAGCGCUGAGCAGCUUUUCACAGGGCUCUGACCUUCCCUAGGAAAAGGAGGAAAAAAUGACCGAGUUCCAGGUGAGUUGAUUUUCAUUUCUGCCAUUUAUAUCUUAUUUCUCAGCAGGCAGACAAC
Molecule: long non-coding RNA, 391 nt
Filed under: Cavia porcellus (domestic guinea pig)
Lineage: Eukaryota; Metazoa; Chordata; Mammalia; Rodentia; Caviidae
Description: lncRNA (ENSCPOG00000033462.1)
Source: RNAcentral